Molecule: ribosomal RNA, 396 nt
Filed under: uncultured bacterium
Lineage: Bacteria
Description: partial 16S ribosomal RNA
Rfam family: Bacterial small subunit ribosomal RNA
Source: RNAcentral
AUACGUAGGGGGCGAGCGUUGUCCGGAAUUACUGGGUGUAAAGGGAGCGUAGGCGGGAGUGCAAGUCAGAUGUGAAAUACAUGGGCUCAACCCAUGGGCUGCAUUUGAAACUGCAUUUCUUGAGUGAAGUAGAGGUAAGCGGAAUUCCUGGUGUAGCGGUGAAAUGCGUAGAUAUCAGGAGGAACACCGGUGGCGAAGGCGGCUUACUGGGCUUUUACUGACGCUGAGGCUCGAAAGCGUGGGGAGCAAACAGGAUUAGAUACCCUGGUAGUCCACGCUGUAAACGAUGAUUACUAGGUGUGGGGGGACUGACCCCUUCCGUGCCGCAGUUAACACAAUAAGUAAUCCACCUGGGGAGUACGGCCGCAAGGUUGAAACUCAAAUGAAUUGACGGGG